This is a long non-coding RNA of Mauremys mutica (yellowpond turtle), 570 nucleotides long. RefSeq lists it as uncharacterized. The transcript has 5 exons. The record is from RefSeq and is a predicted model, not a curated record. Lineage: Eukaryota; Metazoa; Chordata; Testudines; Geoemydidae.
GUAAGGCCAAUGAGGAGACCAUAAGGCAUGGGGGGAGGUAUCCAGAGUUCGUCAUCUCAUGUGUUAAUAGAAUUCAAGUGAUAUAGGACUCUGAAGUAGCAGAGAAGGAAGGUGUGUCAGAGAAUCAAUGGGAACAAUGCAUUUCAAAGAACUGCAGUUACUGUAAAAUCCAGACUAACACGGCUACCCCUCUGAUAUUUGUCUUCAAAGAGCACCAUGUCAAGUGGACCAUCCACGAGGACCUGAAUCUUCCCUACCCUUUGAGCUGAUGUUAUAGCUACAAAAGAACAUUUUUAUGGAUAGAUGGUCAAGACUCUGGAAGCAGUCAAUAGUCAUCUGCGUGGAUCGGAUGGCUUCUUCGCGGGUGUGCAACUUCAGCAGGCAAUCAUCCAGGUGUGUGGAUGCCCAGAGACCUCAGUGUAGCAUGUGAGUCUUUCAUGGUGUGCAGCAGUUCAUUAGUUUUGGCUGCAAACAGCUUCUCGCCAUUGAAAGGAAGAUUUUCUAUGGUGUUCUGUAUCUCCUGUGGGAAUGAGGAGGAGCUCAACCAUGAGGCUCGACGCAUGACCAUGG